CCUACGGGAGGCAGCAGUGGGGGAUAUUGCACAAUGGGGGAAACCCUGAUGCAGCGACGCCGCGUGAGUGACGAAGGUUUUCGGAUUGUACAGCUCUGUUCUUGGUGAAGAAAAUGACGUUAGCUGAGGAGAAAGCUCCGGCUAACUACGUGCCAGCAGCCGCGGUAAUACGUAGGGGGCGAGCGUUUUACGGAUUUACUGGGUGUAAAGGGUGCGUAGGCGGCCUUGCAAGUCUGGAGUGAAAACCCUGGGCUUAACCCUGGGACUGCUUUUGAAACUGUGAGGCUUGAGUGAAGGAGAGGUAAGCGGAAUUCCCAGUGUAGCGGUGAAAUGCGUAGAGAUUAGGAGGAACACCAUGGGCGAAGGCGGCUUACUGGGCUUUAACUGACGUUGAGGCACGAAAGCAUGGGGAGCAAACAGGAUUAGAUACCCGAGUAGUC
This 440-nucleotide ribosomal RNA is filed under the name uncultured bacterium. RNAcentral describes it as "partial 16S ribosomal RNA". It matches the Rfam family "Bacterial small subunit ribosomal RNA", at positions 338 to 795 of the family's 1533-position model. The record is from RNAcentral.